Molecule: ribosomal RNA, 506 nt
Filed under: uncultured bacterium
Lineage: Bacteria
Description: partial 16S ribosomal RNA
Rfam family: Bacterial small subunit ribosomal RNA
Source: RNAcentral
AGUGAACGCUGGCGGUAGGCCUAACACAUGCAAGUCGAACGGCAGCACAGGAGAGCUUGCUCUCUGGGUGGCGAGUGGCGGACGGGUGAGGAAUACAUCGGAAUCUACUCUGUCGUGGGGGAUAACGUAGGGAAACUUACGCUAAUACCGCAUACGACCUACGGGUGAAAGCAGGGGACCUUCGGGCCUUGCGCGAUUGAAUGAGCCGAUGUCGGAUUAGCUAGUUGGCGGGGUAAAGGCCCACCAAGGCGACGAUCCGUAGCUGGUCUGAGAGGAUGAUCAGCCACACUGGAACUGAGACACGGUCCGGACUCCUACGGGAGGCAGCAGUGGGGAAUAUUGGACAAUGGGCGCAAGCCUGAUCCAGCCAUACCGCGUGGGUGAAGAAGGCCUUCGGGUUGUAAAGCCCUUUUGUUGGGAAAGAAAUCCAGCUGGCUAAUACCCGGUUGGGAUGACGGUACCCAAAGAAUAAGCACCGGCUAACUUUGUGCCAGCCGCCGCGGUAA